Non-coding RNA from Phrynosoma platyrhinos (Desert horned lizard), 72 nucleotides. NCBI's taxonomy places the organism in Eukaryota, Metazoa, Chordata, Lepidosauria, Squamata, Phrynosomatidae. The record is from the annotation of a GenBank genome assembly.
GGUUCUGGGCAUAGUGGUUUGAGCAUUGGGCUAGGACUCUGGAGUCCUGAGUUCAAUUCCCACUCAGAAUCA